UACGUAGGGUGCGAGCGUUAGUCGGAAUUACUGGGCGUAAAGCGUGCGCAGGCGGUUCGUUGUGUCGGUGGUGAAAUCCCCGGGCUUAACCUGGGAAUGGCCAUGGAAACUGGCGAACUGGAGUGCGGCAGAGGGGGGUGGAAUUCCGCGUGUAGCAGUGAAAUGCGUAGAGAUGCGGAGGAACACCGAUGGCGAAGGCAGCCCCCUGGGCUAGCACUGACGCUCAGGCACGAAAGCGUGGGGAGCAAACAGG
RNAcentral lists this ribosomal RNA (253 nucleotides) under uncultured bacterium. RNAcentral's name for it is "partial 16S ribosomal RNA". It matches the Rfam family "Bacterial small subunit ribosomal RNA", at positions 524 to 776 of the family's 1533-position model. The record is from RNAcentral.